Molecule: ribosomal RNA, 1095 nt
Filed under: Salmonella enterica subsp. enterica serovar Enteritidis
Lineage: Bacteria; Pseudomonadati; Pseudomonadota; Gammaproteobacteria; Enterobacterales; Enterobacteriaceae
Description: partial 23S ribosomal RNA
Rfam family: Bacterial large subunit ribosomal RNA
Source: RNAcentral
GAAGGUGUGUCGUGAGGCAUGCUGGAGGUAUCAGAAGUGCGAAUGCUGACAUAAGUAACGAUAAAGCGGGUGAAAAGCCCGCUCGCCGGAAGACCAAGGGUUCCUGUCCAACGUUAAUCGGGGCAGGGUGAGUCGACCCCUAAGGCGAGGCCGAAAGGCGUAGUCGAUGGGAAACGGGUUAAUAUUCCCGUACUUGGUGUUACUGCGAAGGGGGGACGGAGAAGGCUAUGUUGGCCGGGCGACGGUUGUCCCGGUUUAAGUGUGUAGGUGUGUGUUCCAGGUAAAUCCGGUUCACUUUAACACUGAGGCGUGACGACGAGGCACUACGGUGCUGAAGCAACAAAUGCCCUGCUUCCAGGAAAAGCCUCUAAGCAUCAGGUAACAUCAAAUCGUACCCCAAACCGACACAGGUGGUCAGGUAGAGAAUACCAAGGCGCUUGAGAGAACUCGGGUGAAGGAACUAGGCAAAAUGGUGCCGUAACUUCGGGAGAAGGCACGCUGACACGUAGGUGAAGUGAUUUACUCAUGGAGCUGAAGUCAGUCGAAGAUACCAGCUGGCUGCAACUGUUUAUUAAAAACACAGCACUGUGCAAACACGAAAGUGGACGUAUACGGUGUGACGCCUGCCCGGUGCCGGAAGGUUAAUUGAUGGGGUCAGCGCAAGCGAAGCUCCUGAUCGAAGCCCCGGUAAACGGCGGCCGUAACUAUAACGGUCCUAAGGUAGCGAAAUUCCUUGUCGGGUAAGUUCCGACCUGCACGAAUGGCGUAAUGAUGGCCAGGCUGUCUCCACCCGAGACUCAGUGAAAUUGAACUCGCUGUGAAGAUGCAGUGUACCCGCGGCAAGACGGAAAGACCCCGUGAACCUUUACUAUAGCUUGACACUGAACAUUGAGCCUUGAUGUGUAGGAUAGGUGGGAGGCUUUGAAGUGUGGACGCCAGUCUGCAUGGAGCCGACCUUGAAAUACCACCCUUUAAUGUUUGAUGUUCUAACGUGGACCCGUUACCCGGGUUGCGGACAGUGUCUGGUGGGUAGUUUGACUGGGGCGGUCUCCUCCUAAAGAGUAACGGAGGAGCACGAAGGUUGGCUAAUCCUGG